Molecule: non-coding RNA, 388 nt
Organism: Cricetulus griseus (Chinese hamster)
Lineage: Eukaryota; Metazoa; Chordata; Mammalia; Rodentia; Cricetidae
Source: RefSeq, a predicted model, not a curated record
CAAGAGCAGGGCAAGAGAAACCAGAGGGCAUUGGGUUGAGGGACCACAGAGCAUCCUCCUUCAGUGCUGCUCUCAAGCUCUCCUGAGCCUCUGGAAGCAAAGGAGAAAAACAACCCACCAGUAACCGGAAGGAGCACGAGAAAGUAAAGAAGCCAUCUGUCAAAUGCCCAUAGUCUCUGAGAAUGGAGUCCUAACCAAAGGCACCUAGGACACAUCUCACUGAGGGAAAAAUAAGGACUUGGGAAGUCAAUUCCCAGGCCACCAUUAUAUGGACCUAUGAACUCAUCCACCAUGCAUUUAUAGUACCAGGCAUGGAUUCUGUGGAGUGGAACUUAAAUCUGAUCAUCGAGUAGUUGGUGGCCCCAUAACAGCACUACCACUGUGUACA